UUUUGAACACACAUUGUGCUUUCGGGUAUUCCCGGUAGCAUGCUUGUCUGAGUGUCUGCGGAUCCCACUCAGCGCUGGCCUCG
This 83-nucleotide ribosomal RNA is filed under the name Pseudo-nitzschia multiseries. RNAcentral's name for it is "partial 5.8S ribosomal RNA". The stretch from base 1 to 57 matches the Rfam family "5.8S ribosomal RNA", at positions 98 to 154 of the family's 154-position model. Rfam says of the family: 5.8S ribosomal RNA (5.8S rRNA) is a component of the large subunit of the eukaryotic ribosome. It is transcribed by RNA polymerase I as part of the 45S precursor that also contains 18S and 28S rRNA. Functionally, it is thought that 5.8S rRNA may be involved in ribosome translocation. The record is from RNAcentral. Lineage: Eukaryota; Bacillariophyta; Bacillariophyceae; Bacillariales; Bacillariaceae.